CGAUCUGGCUCAGGAUGAACGCUAGCGACAGGCUAACACAUGCAAGUCGAGGGGCAGCACGGGAGUAGCAAUACAACUGGUGGCGACCGGCGCACGGGUGAGUAACGCGUAUGCAACCUACCUAUCAGAGGGGAAUAACCCGGCGAAAGUCGGACUAAUACCGCAUAAAACAGGGGCACCGCAUGGUGAUAUUUGUUAAAGAGAUUCGCUGAUAGAUGGGCAUGCGUUCCAUUAGGUAGUUGGUGAGGUAACGGCUCACCAAGCCGACGAUGGAUAGGGGAACUGAGAGGUUGGUCCCCCACACUGGUACUGAGACACGGACCAGACUCCUACGGGAGGCAGCAGUGAGGAAUAUUGGUCAAUGGGCGGGAGCCUGAACCAGCCAAGUCGCGUGAAGGAAGAAGGAUCUAUGGUUCGUAAACUUCUUUUGCAGGGGAAUAAAGUGCAGGACGUGUCCUGUUUUGUAUGUACCCUGAGAAUAAGGAUCGGCUAACUCCGUGCCAGCCGCCGC
Molecule: ribosomal RNA, 511 nt
Filed under: uncultured bacterium
Lineage: Bacteria
Description: bacterial SSU rRNA
Rfam family: Bacterial small subunit ribosomal RNA
Source: RNAcentral